ACUGUGCUUUUAUUUCACAAAGUAGAAAUACACAAAGAACAAAAGAGGUUGCUAAAGGCCACGAACUAGGAAAAAGACUCAGAGCUGGGACUAGAAAACCACAGAGAAAGGCAGCAGCAAUUAUCAGAGAAUAGAAGAGGUUUAGUUUGAAAAGAAGCUAAAAAACUUCAACUCCAUGACUUGGAGAAAAAAUGCUGCCAUUUAUGAAAAUAAACUGUCUUGGUUUGUCUUUGGCAACCUAAGACAUAAACCCAAAGCCUUCAAGAGUGGUAAAAGGCAGAUGAACAGGAAAAAAAACCCUGUUCAUAAAUUUCUAGUUCUACAAGAACUAGGAGUUACCAAUGAAAUAAGGUGGCGAAAAAGAAAGUUUCUUCUGUGAAUUUGCUUCAUCUAUCAAGGCUACUAAAUGCAGUGAUGCAGAUGCUGUUUCCUUUCUGCAAGCCCUUCAAAGAGUGGUUGGUGAGGUCUGGAGCAGUACAGCAGAGGAGCUGCACACCCUGCUCAGCACAGCCCCGUCAGACAGGGGGUGGCAGGUGGUCCAACAUCACAGCACAGGGCUGCCACACUGGUGAGGAGACCGCUUAACUUACGGUUACAGGGACUGACUUACCUCAAAGACCAAAAUUUAGGAAUUUUGAUCAGACCCUCUACUGAUUUUAAUCAGCAGGGACCUGAUGAAAUGACAGAAGCACUCAUUACUGCAAGAGUGGCUGCAGUAUGAGAGCUGGUUCCAGCUUUUUAAAGCAACCAGCUACAGUCCUCGUCCUGUUUCCUCAUGUCCAAACUCCUGAGGGCUUUCUAUUCUGACUCCCAAGGACACUGGCUUUUUGUUUGUUUGUUUGUAGGGCACGAUGUAAGCAUAUCUUUCUUGAAGCAGUCUGUGCAAUGAGCUUCACAGAGCUGGAAGAUAACAGUUUAAUCAGUGCCAUGGCAGCUUGGCAAUACUGUCUUCUAUUAAAUCUGAAGAUUAAAUGCCAAUGUCUUUUAGGCAUCACAAUUCUAUAACUACUGAAAUUUUCUUGCUGCUGAAAUGCAUUUUGCAGUAAAAUCCAAGAUUUAUUUUCCCCAUCAGAGAGAAAGCUGUAGGAUUUUUUUACUAUUAAAACAUAACAAAAUGAAUAUAACAUUUUUUUACCAAUAUUUGCUGUACAGAAGGUCUCCAAUCUUCAUGACUCUGACUAAAGAAGUUACUAUCAUCCAACUUUUGAAGUUUCCUGUAAUUGCUCUACAUGAAAAUCUGUAUUUUGAGAUCUUCUGAAGAGUGAUAAGUAUAAAAUAAGAACACAGUUCUUAAUAAUUUGAGGUGCUGCAAAAGUAGACUUACAUCCAGGUUAAUGUCAGACUCAAAAUACUAGAAAACUUUGAAAAGACCCAGUGGCAGCUUAUUAACAAAUAUACUAUUUAUAAUGAAUGCAUUGAUACAGAAUGACUCUUAUAAAAAAGCAAGGCAAUCUUUUAUAUAGACAUAACAACAUUACAAUAAUUCAGAUUAAAAGUACAUUUUUGUAGACUGUUUACACUCUCACUUAGCUUUUAACCACAAAUUAGCGUGGUCUGAUAUUUUUCCACAGCAAAGGUCCUGUGCAGUCCUGGUUAAGAUCUAAAUCAAAAUAAUAAUAAACAUAUUUUUUAAAAUAUUUGCUAAUAUGAAAACAAAUCCAUUCGUAGAUCCUAUCAUUUGUUUUUAAUCGUCCUUACUGUGCCUUGAAGUUUGUGUUGUGCAAAUUACCAACUGCACAUUUCUAAUUAGAAGCUUUUUUGGCAUUUCUUUUGAUACAGCUGAGGUGUGACACUGGCAGGAAAAUUCUUCGUUGCAUCCAGAUAUGAAACGUCUCCUGACAUGAAUUUGUGCUGAUUUAGAAGUUUAAUUUAUUUUUGGGUUUAAAAAAAAAGUGGGGAGAAAAAAUAACCUCUCAACGCUUUCUAAUUGUUAAAUAAAAGAGAUUUUUCAAUCUCCAAGGAUUGAAGAUGACACGUGAAUUCCAGGUAACACAAUGGGUUUAAGCACUAACCAGAGAGACAAUCCAAGUACCAACUGUCUAAAUCAUGAGCAAACACAACCUUCAAGACGUCUAAAUAUGCAUGUUCCUAAAAAUACUAAAUCAAGGAGAGGCACUGAAACGAAUAUUCUACAAUCCAAAUCUUUCUAAAAAGGGUGCAUGAAGGUCAAAAUGGAAAGUCCCAAUUAUACAACUCUGUGACCCAACUUAACAAGCAGCAAUUCCACUGCACUUACACCAGACAAUUUUGGUGACAAAUUUGAAUAUGGGACAGUGAGAGAUAUAACAUUUAAAACCUUAUGCUAAAAAACUUUUGCAAAGAAUUAUCAAAUUCUUAUUUAGUAAAUUAAAAUGCAAUAUGCAAUGAACAUGAGUCACAACAGCAACUGUUCCUUCUUUUCAUGGUUUAGCAAAUCUCUGAUCUGCUUUUUACCUUUCUAGACUUCCAAAAUACUACAUAGUCUAUAAUAAUUUAGCUUGUUAAAUCAAGGCAUGAUUCAAGAUAGUGUCUAUGGGGCAUAAGUAUGUAUGCACACAGGCACAGACACAUAAAAUUGACAUUUUGGCUAUGGACAAGUAAUCAAGGUCAUGAUUUUCACUCAAAGUAAAAACUGUCAUAUUUUUCAAUUUAAUUUUUUGUUCUAAAUUUUCCUCUGUAUAGCAAAGAGAAUAAACAUUUAAUACAAGUAUCUGGGAAUCACUUGUUUCUCAUUCUUAUUUUCAAAAAUGCUGUAAAUCAUUUAUUUCUCCACACUGUCUAUGCUUUCAUACAGGUAUAGAUACACAAAUACAUUUUUGUAUUUAUGUAUACAUACAGUUGUCAGAAUGAAGUUCUUUCCAUUCAUAUUUUAACUGAUAUGGGCAAAUAAAAUUCUUAAACAUGUGUAAGCCAGUAUAUUUGUUCAACUGAAUGUCACCAGGCAAUAAAACCAUCUAGAAUAUACACCAGUUAACAGUGCAGCAUCCUGGGAAAUGCAAAAGCCUGUCAUUUCAGGAGGUAAGAAUAUUUUGAAUGAUCAAAAUGGCUGGAUUUAUAUGGAUCUAUGUAUAGAUCUGGAUAUAAAUCCAUGUGUUGUACUUACAUGGAUUUAUAUGCAUGUAUUCUCAAUCUGUGCCAGAUAUUUAAAGCUUUAAACUUUUCAGAUUCUUCUGACUUGAUUUCUCCUGCACAAGAACUUCUCUCACACUGUCCUUACUCAAAUCUCCCUUGAGACACUGAAAAAAUAAGCAUUCACCUCAAAGUGUAUAAAAUUAAACUCCUAAAACAGGGCUCAGGAUUAUCUGGCAUUGCAACAACCAUACAAAGAUAGUUUGAAAAAAAAUAUCCUGUUUUUAAUAUAGCAAUGAAUUAAAACAUAGCUUUAUUUAUUCCUAUAAGUGUACUGAAAAGAAUAGCUUGUUUUUGAGUGUAACGAGCACUGUUUUGGUAGCCAACUUCUCCACAGGAAUUUAUGUGAGAGGGUCAGCUCCAAUCAUACAGUCAUUAACCAUGUACCUUAACAAGGUGAAUAAUCAACAUAUUUACAAACUAAACAAAUUCAAUCCCUUGAACUCUUAUAAAAACGGGAUUGAGGAGCAGACAGGGAAUGAGACCAAGACGUUUGGAAACACAAGGGGUCGCCACUUUUGCUUUAAGGAACCAUAUUAAUCAAACCAGUUUCCCCCCUAGUGACCUGAGGGCACAAACACAGACUUUGCAGUAUAUUCAGAACUUCGAUUACAGUCUUGAUACCAAGCAUUUCAGCAUCUUCAUAUUUUAAUACCUUAGUGCUGAGAAAGAUUAACUCAGGCAGAACUGUAAGGAACUAGCCUUUUAUAAACUAAAGUCUAAACUGAAAAGCUACAGUAGAUGUAAAAAAAAAAAAAAAAAA
This is a long non-coding RNA of Taeniopygia guttata (zebra finch), 3871 nucleotides long. NCBI's taxonomy places the organism in Eukaryota, Metazoa, Chordata, Aves, Passeriformes, Estrildidae. The record is from Ensembl.